UUAAGUCCCGCAACGAGCGCAACCCUCGACCUUAGUUGCCAGCAUUCAGUUGGGCACUCUAAGGUGACUGCCGGCUAAAAGUCGGAGGAAGUGGGGAUGACGUCAAAUCAUCAUGCCCCUUAUGACCUGGGCUACACACGUGCUACAAUGGGCGGUACAAAGGGUCGCGAACCCGCGAGGGGGAGCCAAUCCCAAAAAGCCGCUCUCAGUUCGGAUUGCAGGCUGCAACUCGCCUGCAUGAAGCCGGAAUCGCUAGUAAUCGCGGAUCAGCAUGCCGCGGUGAAUACGUUCCCGGGCCUU
RNAcentral lists this ribosomal RNA (300 nucleotides) under uncultured Anoxybacillus sp. RNAcentral describes it as "bacterial SSU rRNA". It matches the Rfam family "Bacterial small subunit ribosomal RNA", at positions 1080 to 1382 of the family's 1533-position model. The record is from RNAcentral. Lineage: Bacteria; Bacillati; Bacillota; Bacilli; Caryophanales; Anoxybacillaceae.